GGGGAUUUAGCUCAAGUGGUAGAGCGCUUGCCUAGUAAGCACAAGGCCCUGGGUUCGGUCCCCAGCUCCG
Molecule: transfer RNA, 70 nt
Filed under: Rattus norvegicus (Norway rat)
Lineage: Eukaryota; Metazoa; Chordata; Mammalia; Rodentia; Muridae
Rfam family: tRNA
About the family: Transfer RNA (tRNA) molecules are approximately 80 nucleotides in length.
Source: Rfam by way of RNAcentral